RNAcentral lists this ribosomal RNA (207 nucleotides) under uncultured bacterium. Its description in RNAcentral is "partial 16S ribosomal RNA". It matches the Rfam family "Bacterial small subunit ribosomal RNA", at positions 568 to 774 of the family's 1533-position model. The record is from RNAcentral.
GGUGUAGGCGGCUUGGCAAGUCGGGUGUGAAAUCCCUGGGCCCAACCCAGGAACUGCACUCGAAACUGCCUCGCUAGAGUCCCGGAGAGGGUGGCGGAAUUCCCGGUGUAGAGGUGAAAUUCGUAGAUAUCGGGAGGAACACCAGUGGCGAAGGCGGCCACCUGGACGGUGACUGACGCUCAGACCCGAAAGCGUGGGGAGCAAACA